AGGCACGUAGCUCAGUUGGUUAGAGCACCACCUUGACAUGGUGGGGGUCGUUGGUUCGAAUCAAUCGUGCCUACCA
This 76-nucleotide transfer RNA is filed under the name Pseudomonas aeruginosa. RNAcentral describes it as "tRNA-Val". It matches the Rfam family "tRNA". Rfam says of the family: Transfer RNA (tRNA) molecules are approximately 80 nucleotides in length. Their secondary structure includes four short double-helical elements and three loops (D, anti-codon, and T loops). Further hydrogen bonds mediate the characteristic L-shaped molecular structure. tRNAs have two regions of fundamental functional importance: the anti-codon, which is responsible for specific mRNA codon recognition, and the 3' end, to which the tRNAs corresponding amino acid is attached (by aminoacyl-tRNA synthetases). tRNAs cope with the degeneracy of the genetic code in two manners: having more than one tRNA (with a specific anti-codon) for a particular amino acid; and 'wobble' base-pairing, i.e. permitting non-standard base-pairing at the 3rd anti-codon position. The record is from RNAcentral. Lineage: Bacteria; Pseudomonadati; Pseudomonadota; Gammaproteobacteria; Pseudomonadales; Pseudomonadaceae.